This 348-nucleotide ribosomal RNA is filed under the name uncultured bacterium. RNAcentral describes it as "bacterial SSU rRNA". It matches the Rfam family "Bacterial small subunit ribosomal RNA", at positions 8 to 349 of the family's 1533-position model. The record is from RNAcentral.
AGAGUUUGAUCAUGGCUCAGGAUGAACGCUAGCUACAGGCUUAACACAUGCAAGUCGAGGGGAAACGACAUCGAAAGCUUGCUUUUGAUGGGCGUCGACCGGCGCACGGGUGAGUAACGCGUAUCCAACCUGCCCACCACUUGGGGAUAACCUUGCGAAAGUAAGACUAAUACCCAAUGACGUCUCUAGAAGACAUCUGAAAGAGAUUAAAGAUUUAUCGGUGAUGGAUGGGGAUGCGUCUGAUUAGCUUGUUGGCGGGGUAACGCCACAAGGCGACGAUCAGUAGGGUUCUGAGAGGACGUCCCCANAUUGGAACUGACGACACGGUCCAAACUCCGUACGGGAGCA